RNAcentral lists this long non-coding RNA (348 nucleotides) under Hordeum vulgare. RNAcentral's name for it is "long non-coding RNA (HVUL_LNC017656)". Lineage: Eukaryota; Viridiplantae; Streptophyta; Magnoliopsida; Poales; Poaceae. The record is from RNAcentral.
AUUCUCAACAAAAUUUAGAGAGCUGGUUUCAAGAAGCGUCAAAUUCUCCACGGCAUUACAAAAUCAAGUAAUUUGACAAUUUCAUCAUUCAGUGAGAGAGAAUGAGUAUUCGUGGUGAUUGAAACCCACCAAAUGAGUGACCUCGUCAUCAGCGGCAAAAGGCGGACAGCGAUGUAGUACAUGAUUAAUCUCCUCUUGCACAAAGCGAGAAAACCAACAAGAGGUGGAAAUGAUUGUGCCAUAGAUAUUGAAAAAUAUUCGUCCACAUAUUCCACUCCAUCCGUCCCAAAUUACCUGACAAGUCUCUACUAACUUUAAAGUAAAGUUAGUACAAAAUUGAGUCAUUUN